This 577-nucleotide ribosomal RNA is filed under the name Anisopygia sp. MNHN PG42. RNAcentral's name for it is "partial 28S ribosomal RNA". The record is from RNAcentral. Lineage: Eukaryota; Metazoa; Arthropoda; Insecta; Blattodea; Ectobiidae.
AAACGGGAGAGGUGGGAAUCGCUUCGAAAAGGGGGGCUCAACGCCGGCGUAUUAUCCAAGCCCCUGUGCGCUCGCGAAACGCUGUCGGCAGACGGCCCCGCACCGCAAGGUCGGGUGUCCGUUGUUAGGCGGCAGCGGCGGUGCACGGGUGCGGUUGCGCGGAGCGUCGGCGCGCAUUUCCCCCCGAGUAGACGCUGCGACCCGUUGGGCUUGUGACCGAUCUAGGGACCUGGAAUUGCGACCGAUGCGGUCUUGGUGCGGGGCAGGGGCGACCCUGUCCGGCCAGUUCCGCAAUGGACCCGGGUAUCCCGAUCGGGGCUCGACGGAAGAAAUCGAAUGAGGGCGAUUCCCGCUUCCGGUAGACGCUUGUCGUUUUUCCGGAUAGCGUCCGGGUCGAGUUCUCGGCAAGCUUACCCGAUGCGCAGUCGCGGUUCUCUCGCCUCCGUGCGGGGGUUCCGUUCCGGUAGGCGUGGCUUACGUCACGCUCCGGGCCGUCGGGGGCUGUUGGCUCUCGGAGUACCUCGGAUAGCGGAGGAGCCCUCGUCCGCGGCGCUUUACCUUCCGAUGCUCUCCCGAC